RNAcentral lists this unclassified non-coding RNA (339 nucleotides) under Hevea brasiliensis (rubber tree). The record is from RNAcentral. Lineage: Eukaryota; Viridiplantae; Streptophyta; Magnoliopsida; Malpighiales; Euphorbiaceae.
GCAGAAUUUUUUUUUUCCCAUGUAAGUAGUUGAACAGAAAUUUUCUCUCAACAUUCAAGUUCACGCAUCUUAUGAAUCCAUAUUUGAUGUAUCUGUCUGACAAAUCUUCUAUUGGAAGGAUAAUUGUAUCACUUGUGGUCAUCUGUAUUUUAAUGUGUGCUUUCAACUUCAUGAUUGGUGUUGUUCACUUGGUUGCAGCAUUUGAAUUGGUGUCAAAUGCUUCAUGUAGUUUUUGUAAAAUUUAUGUUUCACACUGUAGUUGCUUUCAGCAGUACCCCAAUAUAGAGUUAAGAAAGAAGUUGAUGAAUAUUUGAACUUGCAGGAGGCUGUGGUGUCUGA